ACGCUCGACACCUACGGAGGCAGCAGUGGGGAAUAUUGCACAAUGGGGGAAACCCUGAUGCAGCGACGCCGCGUGGAGGAAGAAGGUCUUCGGAUUGUAAACUCCUGUUGUUGGGGAAAAAGAGGAUGGUACCCAACAAGGAAGUGACGGCUAACUACGUGCANNCGCGAGUAUNGCGGCGNGCGAGAG
This 189-nucleotide ribosomal RNA is filed under the name uncultured bacterium. RNAcentral describes it as "partial 16S ribosomal RNA". It matches the Rfam family "Bacterial small subunit ribosomal RNA", at positions 328 to 540 of the family's 1533-position model. The record is from RNAcentral.